This 253-nucleotide ribosomal RNA is filed under the name uncultured bacterium. Its description in RNAcentral is "partial 16S ribosomal RNA". It matches the Rfam family "Bacterial small subunit ribosomal RNA", at positions 524 to 776 of the family's 1533-position model. The record is from RNAcentral.
UACGUAGAUGGCGAGCGUUACUCGGAAUUACUAGGCGUAAAGCGCGUGUAGGCGGGAGGUUAAGUUUGCUGUUAAAUCUCGUGGCUCAACCACGAAAUGCCGGCGAAUACUGGCCCUCUUGAAUUCGGUAGAGGAAACUGGAAUUCCAGGUGUAGCGGUGAAAUGCGUAGAUAUCUGGAAGAACGCCAAAGGCGAAGGCAGGUUUCUGGGCCGCAAUUGACGCUGAGACGCGAAAGCUAGGGGAGCAAACAGG